AACUUUCGCCAAUGGAUCUCUUGGCUCUCGCAUCGAUGAAGAACGCAGCGAAAUGCGAUAAGUAAUGUGAAUUGCAGAAUUCAGUGAAUCAUCGAAUCUUUGAACGCAUCUUGCGCUUCUUGGUAUUCUGAGAAGCAUGCCUGUUUGAGUGUCAUUUAAAUUCUCAACCCCAUCAGUUGUCUGGUGUGGCUUGGAUUUGGGAGCGUUUUUUGCAGGUUUUGUCCUGCUCUCCUGAAAAAUAUUAGCGGAAUCUAGAGCAGAGACCACUGGAGGGUGUGAUAACCAUCUAUACCCUCGGUAUGCUGUGAUUGAAUCUGCUUUCUAAUCUUUUGGAUUGAAAAAUUUGACCUCAAAUCAGGUAGGACUACCCGCUGAACUUAAGCAUAUCAAUAAGCGGAGGCU
This 402-nucleotide unclassified non-coding RNA is filed under the name uncultured Inocybe. RNAcentral describes it as "sequence contains ITS2". The stretch from base 1 to 154 matches the Rfam family "5.8S ribosomal RNA". The record is from RNAcentral. Lineage: Eukaryota; Fungi; Basidiomycota; Agaricomycetes; Agaricales; Cortinariaceae.